Molecule: transfer RNA, 70 nt
Filed under: Camelus bactrianus (Bactrian camel)
Lineage: Eukaryota; Metazoa; Chordata; Mammalia; Artiodactyla; Camelidae
Also listed under: 2 other names
Rfam family: tRNA
About the family: Transfer RNA (tRNA) molecules are approximately 80 nucleotides in length. Their secondary structure includes four short double-helical elements and three loops (D, anti-codon, and T loops).
Source: Rfam by way of RNAcentral
GGAAAUAGCUCAGUGGUAGAGCGCACGCUUAGCAUGCAUGAGGUCCUGGGUUCAAUCCCCAGUACUUCCA